Molecule: ribosomal RNA, 329 nt
Filed under: uncultured eukaryote
Lineage: Eukaryota
Description: partial 18S ribosomal RNA
Rfam family: Eukaryotic small subunit ribosomal RNA
Source: RNAcentral
CCCUUAGAUGUUCUGGGCCGCACGCGCGCUACACUGAUGCAUUCAACGAGUCUAAAACCUGCUCUGAUAGGGGUGGGUAAUCUUUUGAAUGUGCAUCGUGAUUGGGAUAGAUGAUUGCAAUUUUUCAUCUUCAAAGAGGAAUGCCUAGUAAACGCAAGUCAUCAGCUUGCAUUGAUUACGUCCCUGCCCUUUGUACACACCGCCCGUCGCUCCUACCGAUUGAAUGAUCCGAUGAAUAUCAUGGAUUGAGGAUGCAAGUAGGUUCGCCUAUCUUCAUCUUCGAGAAGUGAAGUAAAUCUUAUCAUUUAGAGGAAGGAGAAGUCGUAACA